This 419-nucleotide long non-coding RNA is filed under the name Eucalyptus grandis. RNAcentral's name for it is "long non-coding RNA (EGRA_LNC004683)". The record is from RNAcentral. Lineage: Eukaryota; Viridiplantae; Streptophyta; Magnoliopsida; Myrtales; Myrtaceae.
AAGCAAGGCAUAUUUUCGGUGAAAUCUGCAUAUUAUGCACUCACUCACACACAAUCAGCUAUCUCAACCUCAACUGCAUCAACAUCACACCAAAUUCCUACCUGGUUAUGGCGCUCUAUCUAGAAAAUGCCUGCUGCACCCAAAAUCCGAGUAUUUCUAUGGUCCAUCUGCAAUAAUGCCUUGGCGACGAGAGAAAACCUGUAUCGACGACACAUAUUAGACAGUCCUUGCUGCACAUUGUGUAAAAGAAAGACUCCAGAAACUUUAGAGCAUUUACUCUUACUCUGCUCGUGGACUCAACAGGUGUGGAAUCAUCCCCAGAUCCGGAUUUCAAUCCUUCCCAUUAACAUCCACCGUCUGGAUUCAUGGAUCGCUUCUACGAUUGGGACAGGAAAUCGAUUACCUCAGCUGGCCUUUAU